This is a long non-coding RNA of Solanum stenotomum, 666 nucleotides long. RefSeq lists it as uncharacterized. Lineage: Eukaryota; Viridiplantae; Streptophyta; Magnoliopsida; Solanales; Solanaceae. The record is from RefSeq and is a predicted model, not a curated record. The transcript has 4 exons.
AAGAGAAAGACCAAAAACAGAAAGUGUAAAGACACAGACACAGACAACUAAAAAGAAAAAAUCUAAACACAUAAAAAUAGCUGGAGAAAGCUCACGCCUCCCUUCAUCUUUCCAAAUCAAUUCCGUGAAUCUCCGGCUAACUUUACCCCGAUUGUCGGCGUCGAAGCAUGGAUCCAAGAGCUUGGGCGAGAAUCACUUUUGCAGUAACAAGUCUCACUACUGCCAUGAAUUCGACUCCAUUGAAGACUUCUUCUGCUCCCAGUUUGGCUUCAAUCCCAACAAUUCCAGGCUGAGCUCCGUAAAACUGAUACCACUGCCUCAAAUCAUGGAUUAGAUCAACACAAUACUCUAGGAUUUAAGACCAAGGAACUACAGCUACUGCACAAAAAAGACUUUCUUCAACCAAUGGAACUACAAUUUGGAGGGGAAUCUGAUAAUCUGCCUCAGCUAACUCUUUCAAGAGUGCAAUUAUCAACUGCUUCUCUCCUUCUCCCAGCACUACAUCAAUCAUCCCUUGUGCAUGUUGACCAUUAUGCACCAACUGUUCCUCCAUUAGUUCCCCAUUAUGUCGUGUUGCUAUUUUUUCUGUAUUGUCCUGCUCUGUAGUGCUAUAGAUGCUACUUGUGUCUCCCUCUCCCUUUCUUUGAUAAUUUGCAAAUGCAUUAG